This 253-nucleotide ribosomal RNA is filed under the name uncultured bacterium. RNAcentral's name for it is "partial 16S ribosomal RNA". It matches the Rfam family "Bacterial small subunit ribosomal RNA", at positions 524 to 776 of the family's 1533-position model. The record is from RNAcentral.
UACGUAGGGUGCGAGCGUUGUCCGGAAUUAUUGGGCGUAAAGGGCUCGUAGGCGGUCUGUCGCGUCGGGAGUGAAAACUCAGGGCUUAACCCUGAGCCUGCUUCCGAUACGGGCAGACUAGAGGUAUGCAGGGGAGAACGGAAUUCCUGGUGUAGCGGUGAAAUGCGCAGAUAUCAGGAGGAACACCGGUGGCGAAGGCGGUUCUCUGGGCCGGUACUGACGCUGAGGAGCGAAAGCGUGGGGAGCAAACAGG